RNAcentral lists this transfer RNA (84 nucleotides) under Oleiagrimonas soli. It matches the Rfam family "tRNA". From Rfam's summary of the family: Transfer RNA (tRNA) molecules are approximately 80 nucleotides in length. Their secondary structure includes four short double-helical elements and three loops (D, anti-codon, and T loops). The record is from Rfam by way of RNAcentral. Lineage: Bacteria; Pseudomonadati; Pseudomonadota; Gammaproteobacteria; Lysobacterales; Rhodanobacteraceae.
GCCCGGCUGGCGAAACUGGUAUACGCAAGAGACUUAAAAUCUCUCGGGGUUUUCCCCUUGUGGGUUCGAGUCCCACGCCGGGCA